CGAAAGCCUGACGGAGCAAUACCGCGUGAGGGAGGAAGGUUCUUGGAUUGUAAACCUCUUUUCUCAAGGAAGAAAAAAAUGACGGUACUUGAGGAAUCAGCAUCAGCUAACUCCGUGCCAGCAGCCGCGGUAAUACGGAGGAUGCAAGCGUUAUCCGGAAUUAUUGGGCGUAAAGCGUCCGCAGGUGGCAUAUCAAGUCUGCUGUCAAAGACCGAAGCUCAACUUCGGGCAGGCAGUGGAAACUGGUAAGCUAGAGUACGGUAGGGGUAGAGGGAAUUUCCAGUGUAGCGGUGAAAUGCGUAGAGAUUGGAAAGAACACCAGUGGCGAAGGCGCUCUACUGGGCCGUAACUGACACUCAGGGACGAAAGCUAGGGGAGCG
RNAcentral lists this ribosomal RNA (380 nucleotides) under uncultured cyanobacterium. Its description in RNAcentral is "bacterial SSU rRNA". It matches the Rfam family "Bacterial small subunit ribosomal RNA", at positions 376 to 770 of the family's 1533-position model. Lineage: Bacteria; Bacillati; Cyanobacteriota. The record is from RNAcentral.